RNAcentral lists this ribosomal RNA (478 nucleotides) under uncultured bacterium. Its description in RNAcentral is "bacterial SSU rRNA". It matches the Rfam family "Bacterial small subunit ribosomal RNA", at positions 28 to 507 of the family's 1533-position model. The record is from RNAcentral.
GAUGAACGCUGGCGGCGUGCUUAACACAUGCAAGUCGAGCGAGAAGACUUUGACGGAUCCUUCGGGUGACGGAUGAGUUGGAAAGCGGCGGACGGGUGAGUAACGCGUGGGCAACCUGCCCCAUACAGGAGGAUAGCCACUGGAAACGGUGAUUAAUACUCCAUAAGACCACAGUAUCUCAUGAUACAGAGGUAAAAACUCCGGUGGUAUGGGAUGGGCCCGCGUCUGAUUAGCUAGUUGGUAAGGUAACGGCUUACCAAGGCGACGAUCAGUAGCCGACCUGAGAGGGUGAUCGGCCACACUGGAACUGAGACACGGUCCAGACUCCUACGGGAGGCAGCAGUGGGGAAUAUUGCACAAUGGGCGAAAGCCUGAUGCAGCAACGCCGCGUGAACGAUGAAGGCCUUCGGGUUGUAAAGCUCUUUCGUCGGGGAAGAAAAUGACUGUACCCGAAUAAGAAGGUCCGGCUAACUUCGUG